Molecule: ribosomal RNA, 396 nt
Filed under: uncultured bacterium
Lineage: Bacteria
Description: bacterial SSU rRNA
Rfam family: Bacterial small subunit ribosomal RNA
Source: RNAcentral
GACGAACGCUGGCGGCGUGCUUAACACAUGCAAGUCGAGCGGUAAGGCCCUUUCGGGGGUACACGAGCGGCGAACGGGUGAGUAACACGUGGGUGACCUGCCCUCAGCUCUGGGAUAAGCCUGGGAAACCGGGUCUAAUACUGGAUAUGACUCCAUGACGCAUGUUGUGGGGUGGAAAGCCUUGUGCGGCUGAGGAUGGGCCCGCGGCCUAUCAGCUUGUUGGUGGGGGUGANGGCCUACCAAGGCGACGACGGGUAGCCGGCCCUGAGAGGGCGACCGGCCACACUGGGACUGAGACACGGCCCAGACUCCUACGGGAGGCAGCAGUGGGGAAUCUUGCGCAAUGGGCGAAAGCCUGACGCAGCGACGCCGCGUGAGGGAUGACGGCCUCGGUUG